CCUACGGGUGGCAGCAGUGGGGAAUAUUGCGCAAUGGGCGAAAGCCUGACGCAGCGACGCCGCGUGAGGGAUGAAGGUCUUCGGAUCGUAAACCUCUGUCAGCAGGGAAGAACGGUCACUGUGCUAAUCAGCAGUGAAUUGACGGUACCUGCAAAGGAAGCACCGGCUAACUCCGUGCCAGCAGCCGCGGUAAUACGGAGGGUGCGAGCGUUAAUCGGAAUUACUGGGCGUAAAGCGCUCGUAGGCGGUAUGUCAAGUCAAGGGUGAAAGCCCCGCGCUCAACGUGGGAACUGCCUUUGAAACUGGCAAACUGGAGUGUGUGAGAGGAUAGGGGAAUUCCAGGUGUAGGAGUGAAAUCCGUAGAUAUCUGGAGGAACAUUAGUGGCGAAGGCGACUAUCUGGCACAUAACUGACGCUGAGGAGCGAAAGCGUGGGUAGCAAACAGGAUUAGAUACCCGAGUAGUC
RNAcentral lists this ribosomal RNA (465 nucleotides) under uncultured bacterium. Its description in RNAcentral is "partial 16S ribosomal RNA". It matches the Rfam family "Bacterial small subunit ribosomal RNA", at positions 338 to 795 of the family's 1533-position model. The record is from RNAcentral.